This 279-nucleotide ribosomal RNA is filed under the name uncultured bacterium. RNAcentral's name for it is "partial 16S ribosomal RNA". It matches the Rfam family "Bacterial small subunit ribosomal RNA", at positions 506 to 784 of the family's 1533-position model. The record is from RNAcentral.
UGCCAGCCGCCGCGGUAAUAGUGAAGGUGCAAGCGUUAAUCGGAAUCACUGGGCGUAAAGCGCUCGUAGGUGGCUUUGUCAGUCAGAGGUGAAAUCCCAGGGCUCAACCCUGGAACUGCCUUUGAUACUGCUAGUCUUGAGUUCGAGAGAGGUAAGUGGAAUUCCGAGUGUAGCGGUGAAAUGCGUAGAUAUCCGGAGGAACAUCAGUGGCGAAGGCGACUUCCUGGACCAAUACUGACGCUGAGGUGUGAAAGCGUGGGGAGCAAACAGGAUUAGAUA